RNAcentral lists this small nuclear RNA (188 nucleotides) under Erinaceus europaeus (western European hedgehog). RNAcentral describes it as "7SK RNA". It matches the Rfam family "7SK RNA", at positions 1 to 187 of the family's 331-position model. From Rfam's summary of the family: 7SK was discovered as an abundant small nuclear RNA in the mid-70s but a possible function has only recently been suggested. Two independent studies have found that 7SK RNA binds the CDK9/cyclin T complex (known as elongation factor P-TEFb). The record is from Rfam by way of RNAcentral. Lineage: Eukaryota; Metazoa; Chordata; Mammalia; Eulipotyphla; Erinaceidae.
GGAUUUGAGGGUGAUCUGGCUUCGACAUCUGUCACCCCAUUGAUCGCCAGGGUUGACUGGGCUGAUCUGGUUGGCUAGGUGGGUGUCUCCUUCCUCCCUCACCACUCCAUGUGAGUCCCUCCUGAAGCUGCUCACUCGGUCAAAAAAGACAGCCUUCCCUGAAUAGAGACAGACCGGUUUAUUCCUAG